This 491-nucleotide ribosomal RNA is filed under the name uncultured Acidobacteriota bacterium. RNAcentral describes it as "bacterial SSU rRNA". It matches the Rfam family "Bacterial small subunit ribosomal RNA", at positions 224 to 704 of the family's 1533-position model. The record is from RNAcentral. Lineage: Bacteria; Pseudomonadati; Acidobacteriota.
GAUGAGCCCACAUCCUAUCACGCUUGUUGGUGAGGUAACGGCCCACCAAGGCGACGACGGGUAGCCGGCCUGAGAGGGUGUCCGGCCACACUGGAACUGAGACACGGUCCAGACUCCUACGGGAGGCAGCAGUGGGGAAUUUUUCGCAAUGGGCGCAAGCCUGACGAAGCAACGCCGCGUGGAGGAUGACGGCCCUAGCGGUCUUAAACUCCUGUCUAGCGGGACGAAAGUCAUCAGAGCAAAUAGCCCUGGUGAUUGACUGUACCGCUGGAGGAAGCUCCGGCCAACUCCGUGCCAGCAGCCGCGGUAAUACGGAGGGAGCAAGCGUUACUCGGAAUUAUUGGGCGUAAAGGGCGCGUAGGCGAUUGGGCAAGUCUCUUGUGAAAGCCCAGGGCUUAACUCUGGAAGUGCAGGAGAUACUGCUCAAUUUGAGUUCAGGAGAGGAAGGCAGAAUUCCCGGUGUAGCGGUGAAAUGCGUAGAUAUCGGGAGG